Molecule: ribosomal RNA, 432 nt
Filed under: uncultured bacterium
Lineage: Bacteria
Description: partial 16S ribosomal RNA
Rfam family: Bacterial small subunit ribosomal RNA
Source: RNAcentral
AACGAACGCUGGCGGCAGGCCUAACACAUGCAAGUCGAGCGAGAUCUUCGGGUCUAGCGGCGGACGGGUGAGUAACGCGUGGGAAUAUGCCCUUCUCUGCGGAAUAGCCUCGGGAAACUGAGCGUAAUACCGCAUACGCCCUUUGGGGGAAAGAUUUAUCGGAGAAGGAUUAGCCCGCGUUGGAUUAGGUAGUUGGUGGGGUAACGGCCUACCAAGCCGACGAUCCAUAGCUGGUUUGAGAGGAUGAUCAGCCACACUGGGACUGAGACACGGCCCAGACUCCUCCGGGAGGCAGCAGGGGGGAAUUUUAGAAAAUGGGGGCAACCCUGAUCUAGCCAGGCCGGGUGAGUGAUGAAGGCCUUAGGGUUGUAAAGCUCUUUCAGCUGGGAAGAUAAUGGCGGUACCAGCAGAAGAAGCCCCGGCUAACUCCGU